UACAAUGGUAUGAAAAUGCAGGCACUGAGUGUUCUGGGCUCUCUCUCAGUGUAUCUCACUGCCCGUCCAAUUAAAAUUAAUCUCUGCCAAACGCAGAUUUUACAUGGCAUUUUACUGUAGAAGAAACUUCAUAUUGACUUUUGUAGACGUAAAUGGGAAAAACCAAACUACCUUUUAAUAUAUCUAUAUCAAAUCAUACAAAUGCACUCUCGAGAGCAGUUAUGUCCUUAUACUGGUAAACUACAACUGCCAUGAUGUCUUUCAGUAGUUUAGAGUGCAGCAGCCAGUCCUUUUAGGGGGAUCCCAUAACACGGCUAAACGCAUUUCUCACCAUCCUUAAAACAAUGAAGCAGUGGCUCCAUGAGACAAAGUGUAAGUGCUAGAGGAAAAGAAAAUCUAUUUGUUACCUCUGUUCCGUCUCUACAUUACCCACCGUUGUUGCUCAAUUAAAGCAGACAGAUUCUGCCAUUUUACCGCCCAGGGAACAACUGAAUUUAAUAGUUUUCCUAGAUCCUCUCAACUGGCCUUCAGCAGUGUUCACUACAAGGAAUAGAAAGAUAAAAUGUGGAGGAGAGAAAUGUUUGCUGUGUACAGCAUUAUUGCAUUACUUAUCCUAUUAUAUGUCAUAGCCAUCUUGUUCAGAAUUAAAAAAUGGCGAGAGAAGAGAAACAGCAAAGAACAGGACAUGGAAGGAAAAUUUCCUCCCUACCAUAUUGCUAGUUUAUAUGAUGAUGAAAAUGUGACGCUAUUCGAAAGGAAAGGAGUACUGGUUAAUGUGGCCUACAACCCAAGAAUCCUCUUGUUGACAAAAUAAUUGUGAUUGAAAAAUGAGCAGUCUAAUGACUCAAGCACAGCAAAGGUUUCAUUUUGUAUGUCUGAUUAAAAUGAACAAGCACUGAACAUGUCAUUAUAAUAAAGAGCAUUACAAAUAA
This is a long non-coding RNA of Xenopus laevis (African clawed frog), 932 nucleotides long. RefSeq lists it as uncharacterized. NCBI's taxonomy places the organism in Eukaryota, Metazoa, Chordata, Amphibia, Anura, Pipidae. The transcript is spliced from 4 exons. The record is from RefSeq and is a predicted model, not a curated record.